Molecule: ribosomal RNA, 469 nt
Filed under: uncultured bacterium
Lineage: Bacteria
Description: partial 16S ribosomal RNA
Rfam family: Bacterial small subunit ribosomal RNA
Source: RNAcentral
GAUGAACGCUGGCGGCGUGCUUAACACAUGCAAGUCGAACGGAAAGGCCAGUGCUUGCCCUGGUACUCGAGUGGCGAACGGGUGAGUAACACGUGGGUGAUCUGCCCUGCACUUCGGGAUAAGCCUGGGAAACUGGGUCUAAUACCGGAUAGGACAAUGGUUUGGAUGCCGUUGUGGAAAGUUUUUUCGGUGUGGGAUGAGCUCGCGGCCUAUCAGCUUGUUGGUGGGGUAAUGGCCUACCAAGGCGUCGACGGGUAGCCGGCCUGAGAGGGUGUACGGCCACAUUGGGACUGAGAUACGGCCCAGACUCCUACGGGAGGCAGCAGUGGGGAAUAUUGCACAAUGGGCGCAAGCCUGAUGCAGCGACGCCGCGUGGGGGAUGACGGCCUUCGGGUUGUAAACUCCUUUCGCUAGGGACGAAGCGUAUUUGUGACGGUACCUGGAGAAGAAGCACCGGCUAACUACGUGC